RNAcentral lists this ribosomal RNA (318 nucleotides) under uncultured eukaryote. RNAcentral describes it as "partial 18S ribosomal RNA". It matches the Rfam family "Eukaryotic small subunit ribosomal RNA", at positions 1470 to 1796 of the family's 1831-position model. The record is from RNAcentral.
CCCUUAGAUGUCCUGGGCCGCACGCGUGCUACACUGACGCAUACAGCGAGCACUUUCCAGUUCCGAGAGGCUACUGGUAAUCAUCAAUAUGCGUCGUGAUGGGGAUAGAUCUUUGGAAUUCUGGAUCUUGAACGAGGAAUGCCUAGUAAUCGCAGGUCAUUAGCCUGCGAUGAUUAGGUCCCUGCCCUUUGUACACACCGCCCGUCGCUACUACCGAUUUCGAGUGGUCAGGUGAAUCUUUCGGACUGUGGGCGCCCUUGAGGUGUUCGCGGAAAGUCAGGUAAAUCUUAUCACUUAGAGGAAGUAAAAGUCGUAACA